GAUGAACGCUGGCGGCGUGCCUAACACAUGCAAGUCGAGCGAAGCGCUUAAAUUAGAUUUCUUCGGAAUGACGAUUUUUGUGACUGAGCGGCGGACGGGUGAGCAACGCGUGGGUAACCUGCCUCAUACAGGGGGAUAACAGUUAGAAAUGACUGCUAAUACCGCAUAAGACCCCAGCUUCGCAUGAAGCGGUGGUAAAAACUCCGGUGGUAUGAGAUGGACCCGCGUCUGCUUAGCUAGUUGGUAAGGUAACGGCUUACCAAGGCGACGUACAGUAGCCGACCUGAGGCGGUGACCCGCCGCAUUUGGACUACGACACGGCCCCGACUCCUACGCGAGGCAGCAGUGGGGAAUGUUGCACAAUGGGGGAAACCCUGAUGCCGCGACGUCGCGUGAAGGAUGAAGUGUUUCGGUAUGUACACUUCUAUGAGCAGGGAAGAAAGUGACGGUACCUGACUAAGAAGCCCCGGCUAACUACGUG
This 481-nucleotide ribosomal RNA is filed under the name uncultured bacterium. Its description in RNAcentral is "partial 16S ribosomal RNA". It matches the Rfam family "Bacterial small subunit ribosomal RNA", at positions 28 to 507 of the family's 1533-position model. The record is from RNAcentral.